Molecule: ribosomal RNA, 987 nt
Filed under: Triticum aestivum (bread wheat)
Lineage: Eukaryota; Viridiplantae; Streptophyta; Magnoliopsida; Poales; Poaceae
Description: partial small subunit ribosomal RNA
Source: RNAcentral
AUGCUGUUGCGGGCAGCAUGGGGGAAGACGCGGAUCAAGAACAUGCCGGAGCUCCUGGCUGGUGUGAGGACCGGCAUAGCCCUGUCCAGCGGCUUCAGUGUGCCGGACCUCUUCCAGACGUGGAGGCGCUCGGUGCUCGCCGCGGUCACGGGCAUGAAGCGAGGCCUCGAGAGCCUCCACAAGGCGGUUGACUCCGUGUUUGAGGAGGUCAUCGAGGAGAGGAUGUGCGCGCGCGCUGAGAAUGUCAAGACUGGCGCAGAGAACGUCGAUGAGAACCUCGUGGACGUGCUCAUCGGCAUGCAGGAGAAAGGCGACUCCGUCUUCCCUAUCGACAAACCAAGAAUCAAGGCCUUCCUUCUGGACACGUUGGCGGCUGGGACGGGGACGUCGGGGUCGGCAAUGGAGUGGACCAUGUCGGAGCUGAUUCGGAAUCCAAAGGUUAUGGCGAAGCUCCAGGAGCAGAUCCGGGAGGCGUUCCGGGGGAAAGCAGUGGUGACGGAGGGAGACAUGCAGGCAGCCGACAUCCGGUACCUAAAGCUGGUGAUGAAGGAGGCGCUCCGGCUGCACCCGCCGGCCCCGCUGCUGGUGGGCCGGGAGAGCAUUGACGUGUGCGAGGUGGACGGGUACACGAUCACGGCCAAGUCGCGCGUCCUCGUCAACGUGUGGGCGAUCAGCCAGGACCCCAAGUACUGGGACGCCCCCGAGGAGUUCAAGCCGGAGCGGUUCGAGAAGGGCGACAUCGACUUCAUGGGCAGCCACUACGAGUUCACCCCGUUCGGCGCCGGCCGGAGGAUGUGCCCUGGCAUUAGCUACGGCCUCGCCAGCAUGGAGCUCGCCCUCGUCUCCCUCCUCUACCACUUCGACUGGUCGCUGCCGGAGGGCGUCAGCGAGCUUGACAUGGGGGAGGCACCGGGACUCGGUGUGCGCCGCCGGUCGCCGCUGCUGCUCCGGGCCACCCCCGUCCUCCCGGCGGACUGCGCGGAAUAG